RNAcentral lists this ribosomal RNA (253 nucleotides) under uncultured bacterium. RNAcentral describes it as "partial 16S ribosomal RNA". It matches the Rfam family "Bacterial small subunit ribosomal RNA", at positions 524 to 776 of the family's 1533-position model. The record is from RNAcentral.
UACGAGUGCCCCAAGCGUUAUCCGGAAUUAUUGGGCGUAAAGGGUGUGCAGGCGGGGGAACAAGUGGUGUAUGAAAUCUCCCAGCUUAACUGGGAUAGGUUAUGCCAGACUGUUCUUCUAGAGGACGAGAGAGGGGGGUGGAAUUCCGGGUGUAGUGGUGAAAUGCGUAGAGAUCCGGAGGAACCCCAGAGGCGAAGGCGGCCCCCUGGCUCGUACCUGACGCUCAGCCACGAAAGCAUGGGGAGCGAACGGG